AUUCUUCAGAUCGCAGUCAUUAGCCAACAUUUUGAGACUGCUCUUUGGUUACUAAAAAAUUACCCAUAUCUUGCGAAUAGAAAGGAAAGCAAUGGACUCACAAGUCUUCAAUUGCUAGCCCAAAUGCCAUCUGCCUUCCAACCCAAAUUUCGCCAAAGCAUAUGGAAGAAGCUCAUUUAUAAAUGCCUUUUUGAUGAUGACAACAUUGAUUGGGACCCACCAAAUCAAAACU
This is a non-coding RNA of Prunus mume (Japanese apricot), 232 nucleotides long. NCBI's taxonomy places the organism in Eukaryota, Viridiplantae, Streptophyta, Magnoliopsida, Rosales, Rosaceae. The record is from RefSeq and is a predicted model, not a curated record.